Long non-coding RNA from Pteropus alecto (black flying fox), 2278 nucleotides. RefSeq lists it as uncharacterized. The transcript is spliced from 4 exons. The record is from RefSeq and is a predicted model, not a curated record. NCBI's taxonomy places the organism in Eukaryota, Metazoa, Chordata, Mammalia, Chiroptera, Pteropodidae.
GUGUGUGUACUAUAAUAGGAGAGAAUCAUUGGAAAGGAAACUAAUUUCCACCAUUUUGAUUAUAUUUCCUUAUUCUCUCCCCCAGAGAAAUGCCGUUUUAAUUCUUCCUUCUAAAAUAAAGGUAGAAAAAGCCACAACAAUCCCUACACUUUUUUUUUUUGUGGUGGUUGUUAAAGAAACAGCCAAAAUCCUGAGAAGACACUGUUUGUCUACACAUAUUACCAAUCUUAUUUAGCACUGAGGGCGCCGUUUUCCAAAUAUUACUAACAUCAGCCCUCGCUCCGCUGCGGCCGACACUCACCACCAUCCAUUUUUUAAAAUCCUUUUACGUCGAUCCUUUCAUCCAAACCCAUAAACAACCAUUUCCUCCCUGCAACAGUGGUUUGAAUGGCCCGAAACGUUCAGCCAUGCAAGGGCUGAGUCGUGCAAACCCGGAGACUGCAGACUGCGGUGAUGGGCAGGGCCACUCCUCCCGCUGCACACGACAGCUGUCCUCAUCUACGGUGUGAUUUAAGAGGGUUCAGGACCCCGAUAAGACCCUGCCCUCGAAGCCAAGACCCUCGAACGGGAGGACAGAGGCGGCCUCAACCCAGCCAGCCAGAGCCAAGCCUUUGGAAAACUGGCUUCUCUCCAGCGGCCAGGAGUGGCCCAGGCUGGGCGCGCGGAGCCGCUCCCAGAAAGAAGAACAACAAAAAAAAGAAAUCUUUUCCUGCAGAUGUGUACCUGAGAUGUUUACUAGGAGUGGCAAAAGUCAGAACGGAUGUUAUUUUAAAUAGGGUGAUUGAAAGAGCUAGCGGGGUGACAGACUGUGAACUCACUCCAGAACUCCUGACUCUGAAGUGGCAAAUUGGAAUCUCCCUGCAUGGAGAAUCCAAGCCCUGGUUCCAGAGCUGACAUCUCUGAGCCUUGGUUCUUCAUCUGGGAAACAGAGACAAUAAAGCUUCUGGGCUUCGCUCACAGGAGCCAGCAGGUAACCUAAACGACAGGGUAAAAUUCUCCCUCAGUCAUCACACAGUACUACCCUCUGCUCUGUAUUCUUUAUUUGCAUAUACGUUUGAUAAAGGCCAGACCGCGCAAAGAGCUCUCAUGAAUUUUCAUUGAAUUCUCACUACAGCCCCACGAGGUCGGUGCUAUUAUUACUCCAUUUUCCUAGGACGCAGAGAAGUCAAGUUACUUGCCCAAGGUCACACGGCUCUAAGGGCAGACCCCAGUCUCACGCUCCGAUUUCCUGGUACCCAGAGGAGAACGUCCACCGCCAAGACGCAGCCGCAGUGCCCUGACCUAAGGAGAGGCUUAGCUGUGUGAACAGCUUUCUGGGAGCGUAUCAACAACGAGGACCAGAAUCCCUUGGGAGUCUAGACCCUAGCGGGUCCACCUUCCGACGCUCCGCCCAGCCUGAGGGCGGGGCGGGGCUGUGGCCGCAGGAUGCUCUAGGCUGGUCUACCGCCCCGCCCGCCUGGUGCGCAGGUGCUCCUGGUACUGCGCAUGCGCGGCCUGCAGACUGUGGCGCACUGGGGGUAGGAAGACUCCUACGAUUCACGCACCGGUCACGUGACUGCUUGGCCACUGCGUUAGGAACCGCGCAGGUGGAGAAACGGAUGCAGAGACCAGCGGGGAGAAGCAGGGAAAAUGAAAAAAUAAUUGUCUUCGCUGCAGCCACCUCUGCCACCCCACCUUCCUACAAAGAGCAGCUGGACGGGAAUGUUUGAGUUUGGUACAUCCUCCUCUCCAAGAAUGGUUGAGCAAAGAAAAUUUAAGUGUGGUGUGCGUGUGAUCCAGAGAUGCAGGGCCACUACAGUGAUGUAAAGGAUUGGUAACAGGGACCAGACCUCAUGCAGUCGUGGGUGCUGGUGAAACGGAAUGUUCAAGGCCUUGACACCUGCUGGUGACUGGAAAGGAGAGAUGGAUGUAUCAUGGGGAGAGCAAGGACAAACUGGGACAUCUGUGUCCCUCACCCUCUCCAACUUCAGUGAGACAGCUGACCUGCAAGAGAACUGGUGUCCUUUGCAGAGCUGUACACACACAUAGCUGGCCCAGGACUCAGAAGCUAGUCUCCUAGCAGGAACCAGAGAAGUCACAGGCCCUGGUGCUGCCCAAACCAACAAGGCAAGUUAGCAGUCCAGUGACAACCACGUGCCAGCUACAGCAGGGCCUGAGGCCCUCCGCCCAAGCACAAAGCAUAAAAAACGGCUGCUCCUUCUAGACCUUGAGCACAUUUAUUUUGUGGCCAACCCAACUUGGAAUCACACAGGAAAGAGAAUUCUAGGAAACUAGGUUC